AACAAAAUUCUCAAUCAAACACAUAUAAACCCACUUCAGCACAUACAUUUACAAAAUUGAAUAAAAAAUUGUAAAACUUAUAGUCACAGACUCAGAGAGACAAAGAGAAGGGGCUCCGGUGACAGGCUCACAUGCAAUGGAGAUGGCCAAGCUCACAGCGACGGCAACCAAGAGAUGAAUCUGUGGAAGAACAAAAAAGAACUUAGAUCUCACAAUAUGAUGGAGAGGGAGAGAGAGAGAGAAAGCGCGCACGAGAGAACAAGAGCGAGAGCAACUUACGGUCUUAUGGAGCUAAAAACUGAGCAGCGAUGGC
This 313-nucleotide long non-coding RNA is filed under the name Arachis ipaensis. RNAcentral describes it as "long non-coding RNA (AIPA_LNC000927)". The record is from RNAcentral. Lineage: Eukaryota; Viridiplantae; Streptophyta; Magnoliopsida; Fabales; Fabaceae.